ACUUGUGCCAUUUCCUAUCAGAGAGAAAUGUUUUGGUUUAAAGUAAAGAUGAAUAAUUAUUCAUCUGAAUAAAGAUUCAUAAUUUUGGCCAAAACCUUUGUGCCGCUUUUGACAUUCUCCUGUUCUGAAUAGCGUAUGCGUAUUGGUAUCAAAGUUUUGGAAUUCACAGUGUUCUGCUGUGUUAGGACAGUGUAUGUUACUUUUGCUGUGAUGUCACAGGAUCAAUUGAGCUUCUGGGAAUAACAUUUAAAUGCUGUCUGAGUGGUCCGAAAUAAUCAGAGAGUAGGUGGAGCCGUUAGCUACACUUUCAGUUUCAAAUAUUCUGCAUCCCGAGGUUUGAAUUUGCACUCACAAUGACUCCUGGGUAGUAGCCUCCUACUGUGAUGUUCUGAGUCCUGGUAGUUGCCGCCAGGCCGAAAAUAAGGAUCAGCACAGAUACAACGAGCAGCAUCACCGUCACAGUUAUGGAUUUCCUCUUCCUUCUCUUAAAGGAACCUACAGAUUUUCCAGGCACGUCCCACCAGGAAGAGGCUCAGGGGGCGGCCCAGGACAUGCUGGAGGGACUAUGUCUCUCGACUGUCCUGGGAACGCUGUUCUUGAGCUUCCCCCAGAGGAGUUGGAGGAGGUGUCUUGGGAGAGGGAAGUCUGGGCCUCUAUCCUUAGUCUGCUGCCCCCAUGACCCGGUCCCGGAUAAGCAGAAGACUACGAGUAGGAGAUCUAAACAGAGCUGUGUGAUAUUGUUUUAUAGCCUAACUCUGCUAUGAACUUCUCAGCAACUUCAUCCCUGACCUGCCUACUGUGUUCCUUGGUCUUCAUGAAGUUUGAACAAACCCUUUCGCAGAACAGCUGUAUUUAUACUGUGAUUAAA
Molecule: long non-coding RNA, 868 nt
Organism: Girardinichthys multiradiatus
Lineage: Eukaryota; Metazoa; Chordata; Actinopteri; Cyprinodontiformes; Goodeidae
Exons: 3
Source: RefSeq, a predicted model, not a curated record